Taeniopygia guttata (zebra finch) is the source of this 1410-nucleotide non-coding RNA. Lineage: Eukaryota; Metazoa; Chordata; Aves; Passeriformes; Estrildidae. The record is from RefSeq and is a predicted model, not a curated record.
AAAUCAUGUGACUUAUGACACAACUUACAUAAGGAAACAUCAAAUUCCACUCCAACUGUUUUGCAAAAGUUUGCCUGUAACCCAUUGAACUGAGAAUUUGCCCACAAGUAUCUUGAGCUGACUGUCCAGUGCAAGAAAAGAAUCACAGUCAGCUCAGAAGAAAGCAAUGGUCAGGUAUACAACUAUGUCUCUGCAGAGGAUGGUAUCUUUCCAAUUUGUACACACUAACCACAACAAAGCUGUCUAAUACACAAGGUCCUACUGACCAAGCAGCUGGAAAGAAGGAAAGUUUGGCCAAAUCACAUGCAUUUUAUAAAGAAAUACUAGACUUCAGCAGCAAGUCAUAGCACUUCAAGUCAUAGCACUUCAAAGCAACCUCACCAAAAAAAUUGACUGCUUUUAUCAAGCAAUGCAGUGCAUCUACAUAUACACCACAGCAACUAGCACCUUUAAUAGCCAACAUGGUUUCUGAAGUUCCAAAUCUGGCAGCAAAUGAAGAAGCAAACUAAUAGAGGAAGUACUAUGCUUCACUGUAUAAUCUGUAUUUAUUAUUAUACCAAGCAGUUACAACAAUCUGAUAUUACACAGGAUAGACUACAAGAGAUGCAGUAGCUCAAAGAUAAGAAAAUAAUUACAAAUGGCCCAAUACAGUACUUUAAAGCACCUUACUGACAGGUUUUUUCAUAUUAGCAUUACAUGAGCACAAGAGUAACAGCCACAGGACAAAAUUAUGGUGAAUCCUGACAUUAAGAAGUAUCAAUGACACUGCAAUAGAACACCUACAUAAUAUGUGAAUGCAAGAAACCUUUUGCAUCCAACAUUAAAAAGUGGCACAAGAUUUGAAGACACUUAACAUAUCCCAAGAUCUUUUUUUCUGGCUAGGAGAACAUUUAUAUAUUUGUUACUCCAAUAUUUGUUGCUCCCAAAGUAGUUAUGACCACUUCAUAAAAAGCAAUGUUAAGAAGCAAAGUUUGAGAAGAAUAUUAGCUCUUGCUACAAAAAUCCCUCCUGACAGAAAUUAACCUCUGUCUUCAGUAAUGCGAUGAAGAAAAAUAUUAUCUACAGUUUUGUAAUAAUGGCUGUACCAUGCAGCCAUUCAAAACACUAAAAGCACUUUUGACAGAAGUAACUUUCAAAACAACUAUGCAUGCAGUGGCCACAGAAACCUUCAAUGAGACCUAAGUAGCUAGCAGAGAAAAUUCAAGAGGAAUUUUACUGAAAGCUUUAUUCCUGGAACAUGAGUCUACGAUCAAGUAUAAGGUCUACCCAAAUUUUGCAUCAAAAAGUCAGCUGGCUUGUAUACCACCACAAAAUGUAAUCUUAAAGAAUUUGUUCUACCAUUUUUAAAAUACAAAGUUUAUGCCAGCAAAAUAUAUAAAAUAAAACUUUUGCUUUUCCUAGUUCAAAAAA